CCCUUAGAUGUUCUGGGUCGCACGCGCGCUACACUGAUGCAUUCAACGAGUAAUCUUUGACCUUGGUCGACAGAUCUGGGUAAUCUUUUGAAAUUGCAUCGUGAUGGGGCUUGCGGGUUGCAAUUACCCGCACCAACGAGGAAUUCCUAGUAAACGCAAGUCAUCAACUUGCAUUGAUUACGUCCCUGCCCUUUGUACACACCGCCCGUCGCUCCUACCGAUUGAGCGGUCCGGUGAAGACUCAGGAGAUGGGCGCGUGCUUGGUUCGCCAACUGCGCUGCCUGCCAAAUUUGUCUAAACCUUAUCGCUUAGAGGAAGGAGAAGUCGUAACA
This 332-nucleotide ribosomal RNA is filed under the name uncultured eukaryote. Its description in RNAcentral is "partial 18S ribosomal RNA". It matches the Rfam family "Eukaryotic small subunit ribosomal RNA", at positions 1470 to 1796 of the family's 1831-position model. The record is from RNAcentral.